CCAGGGCUGGGAGAUAAUACAGCAAAAAGCCUGCCAUGUCCUGGUGACAGGAGCCCAUUUCAGCGGCCAAAAAAUCUUUCCAACAGCUUCUGUUUUGCUGGUAAAUGUCUGUGUUUGUGUUGGUUGUAGGAGGAAACCUGGGAAAACAAGUUGGGUUCUGGAUGAGAAAAUGGGUGACUUUGUUAUAGGAUGGAGCAAAGAGAAUCACAAGAAAGCUCAAUGGCAUUUGACCCCAAAUGGAAAACCCAAAAUGACACUUCCAUUAGGAUAUUCCUUUGUUUUGGAAGAACAGGGUGAGAAGAAGAAAGACAGGGGCAAACUUUACCAGACAUGCCCUUCACCAGCCAGGAUUAGUAACUGAAGAGGAAGGAGAGAAUGCUGGGUGCACUCCAGCUGCUGGGACCCUUCUCUUUCCAUCUCACUGUACCUUUGCUUCUGGAGGAAGGAAAAUACAUUCAAGUCCUAGGAAGAUUCUGAAGGUCAAAUGAGGGAAAGGAGCCCUGCCCAGCAAGAUGUAUCAUGUCAAGCCACCUGCUUCUAUCAGUCCCAAAUCCACCAUCACCUUAGUUCCUGACUGCAAUUAGCACAACUGUGUUAUCACCUGCUCUAACUUUAGAGAGAGACUGCAUUUAACAUCAAGAAUGAGGGUGCUUUUGGGAAAAUGAAAAAAAAAAAAACAAACAAAAAACAGAUGAACAUCAUUUCAGAAAGGAAGAGGAAAAAUGAUGAUGAUUCUCCUUGAUAUGAAAUAAUGAACUUCAAGCUCUAAAACAGAACAUUGCAUAGAACAAGAGGAGGACAGAGGCAGAAAAACUUGCCUGUGAAUUGAAAGAUAUGAGAUAGUCUGGUACCACAAUGAAACUACCUGUGGUUAGCCUAGUUCAUGAACAGGUUUUCUUAACAUGCUUCUCACCAUCAUAGGAGUUCAGCUAAGUCUAAUAAAAAGCACUCUAUGGAUCUAAGCAUUCUCUUUUAACAUGUCCUGUAGAGGAUUAAAUCUCUAUGUAGAAAAUAAAAAAACCCAAGCUUUACUUCUUUUAGAAACUAUUUCAGUAGUAAGGGAGAGUAAAAUGAGGAAAAAUUUUAUGUUUUAAUUUUGGUGGCCAUAUAUUGGUGAUGGGUUUUAUAUUUGCAGUUCUGUAUGCUAAGUGUACCUAGAAAAAAAUAGAUGAAACGCAUUCACAAAAAAUAGCAACACUUUUUCUAUGGGGACCAAGAGAAAUGCUAUGCUGGGAGGGCCUGAGGGAUCCAGUCUGGAGCCCAGAGCUAGUGUAUCUGUAUCUGUAUUCCAGAAAUAAUAUCUUUUUAUUACUCUUUCUUUUUUUUUCCAAAUGGCUACAUCUUCUCCCUUUAUCAGCAGUAGCAAGAUUUGAGAACAUAGGGAUGGCAACAGUAUUUUCAGAACAGAAAAUUAAAACAAGCUGUAUUUUUGUUCCCAAUUUAUGAGUCUAUUUUGAUGGGAAGUUGAACAAAUAAAAAGGAAAUCAUCAAA
This is a non-coding RNA of Homo sapiens (human), 1492 nucleotides long. The record is from RefSeq and is a predicted model, not a curated record. Lineage: Eukaryota; Metazoa; Chordata; Mammalia; Primates; Hominidae.